CAGUAGUCACGUAGUUGAUCAUGGCUCAGAACGAACGCUGGCGGCAUGCCUAACACAUGCAAGUCGAACGAGACCUUCGGGUCUAGUGGCGCACGGGUGCGUAACGCGUGGGAAUCUGCCCUUGGGUUCGGAAUAACUUCGGGAAACUGAAGCUAAUACCGGAUGAUGACGUAAGUCCAAAGAUUUAUCGCCCAAGGAUGAGCCCGCGUAGGAUUAGCUAGUUGGUGAGGUAAAGGCUCACCAAGGCGACGAUCCUUAGCUGGUCUGAGAGGAUGAUCAGCCACACUGGGACUGAGACACGGCCCAGACUCCUACGGGAGGCAGCAGUGGGAAUAUUGGACAAUGGGCGAAAGCCUGAUCCAGCAAUGCCGCGUGAGUGAUGAAGGCCUUAGGGUUGUAAAGCUCUUUACCCGGGAUGAUAAUGACAGUACCGGGAGAAUAAGCUCCGGCUAACUCCGUG
This 460-nucleotide ribosomal RNA is filed under the name uncultured bacterium. RNAcentral describes it as "bacterial SSU rRNA". It matches the Rfam family "Bacterial small subunit ribosomal RNA", at positions 1 to 507 of the family's 1533-position model. The record is from RNAcentral.